AUGGUGCACGCCGAUUCAUACUGGUGCACGCCGAUUCUUACUGGUGCACGCCGAUUCUUACUGGUGCAUACUGCUUCUUUUUGUUUCCUAUUGAUUCUCACUGGUGUAUACUGGCUCUUACUGGUGAAUACUGCUUUAAAUGGUGCACACUGGUUCUUACUGGUGCACAGUGAUUCUUACUGGUGCGUACUGGUGCUUACUGCUUCUAAGUGCUGCAGACUGGAGCACACUGGUGUGCAGUGGUUCUUACUGGGACAGGGCGGUGCACAGCGGACGCCAGCGGCCGUAGUGGGUGGGCGGUGGCCGUACUGGUGCCGACUGGUCCGUUCUGGUGGCAGAGGUGGCCGCGGGGGGCCGGGGCCGGCUGCUGUUUCGGGGCAGUUGCCCCCUGAGGCUGCGCCCCCAGCGGCGGUUCCUGCUCAUGGGGGGGGAAGGGUCAGUGGCCGGGACCAGCCAGAGCCCCCAGUUCCUGCUGGGUCCCCACUCCUGGCUGGAGGAGGCCCCCUCCCGGCCCCACUGUGGCCCCGCCCCCAACUGCCGCCCCCUGCUGGAGUUCAUGGAGACCCUGCGCUCCCGCGGCUGCCCCUUCUGAGCGGGGCGGGGGGCGGCACCUGGAGCCCCUGGGAGAUACUGGGAGACACUGGAAGACACUGGGACCACACUGGAAGAGACGGGGAAUGUGCUGGGGGGCAACUGGGAGCAACUGGGACCAUGCUGGAAGCAACUGGGACUAUAUUGGGGCAACUGGGACUAUACUGGGGCAACUGGGAGCAACUUGGACCACACUGGAAGCAACUGGGACCAUGCUGGAAGCAACUGGGACUAUAUUGGGGCAACUGGGAGCAACUUGGACCACACUGGAAGCAACUGGGACUAUGUUGGGGCAACUGGGAGCAACUUGGACCACACUGGAAGCAACUGGGACCAUGCUGGAAGCAACUGGGACUAUAUUGGGGCAACUGGGAGCACACUAGGGCAACUGGGACCAUGCUGGAAGCAACUGGGACUAUGUUGGGGCAACUGGGAGCACACUGGGGCAACUGGGAGUUAAUAAAGCAACUGGGACCACACUGGAAGUAAUGGGACGAUGCUGGAGGAGACUGGGUCAUACUGGGACCACACUGGAAGGAGCUGGGACCUUGCUGGGGGAAACUGGGAGU
This 1160-nucleotide long non-coding RNA is filed under the name Calidris pugnax (ruff). RNAcentral describes it as "lncRNA (ENSCPUG00000004898.1)". Lineage: Eukaryota; Metazoa; Chordata; Aves; Charadriiformes; Scolopacidae. The record is from RNAcentral.